AACAUACUCCCUUCAUCCGAAAUUAUUUGUCGAAGAAAUUAAUGUAUCUAGACAUAUUUUAGUUCUAGAUACAUUCAUUUUUAUCUAUUUAUGCGAGAAGUAAUUCCGGACGGAGGGAAUAUUCA
This is a non-coding RNA of Triticum aestivum (bread wheat), 125 nucleotides long. Lineage: Eukaryota; Viridiplantae; Streptophyta; Magnoliopsida; Poales; Poaceae. The record is from Rfam.